RNAcentral lists this non-coding RNA (239 nucleotides) under Sphingobium sp. The record is from RNAcentral. Lineage: Bacteria; Pseudomonadati; Pseudomonadota; Alphaproteobacteria; Sphingomonadales; Sphingobiaceae.
GACGCGCAUGAUCGCGCCGGUGCCCGACAGGGCUGAAAACGGGAAUGCGGUGCGGGGGGCGCAGGCCUUCCAAAUCCGCGGCUGUCCCUGCAACUGUAAGCGGUGAGCGCGAUGCGCAGGGUCCGGCGCCUUCCCAGGGGAGGCGCGGACCGGCCACUGGAUCGAUAGGGUCCGGGAAGGCUGGCGCAUCGUUGCCCUGACCCGCGAGCCAGGAGACCUGCCGGCGUCUGGUCGCUCUU